UACGUAGGGGGCUAGCGUUGUCCGGAUUUAUUGGGCGUAAAGAGCGUGUAGGCGGCCAGGUAGGUCUGCUGUGAAAACUCGAGGCUCAACCUCGAGAUGUCGGCGGAAACCAUCUGGCUAGAGUCCGGAAGAGGAGAAUGGAAUUCCUGGUGUAGCGGUGAAAUGCGCAGAUAUCAGGAAGAACACCCGUGGCGAAGGCGGUUCUCUGGGACGGUACUGACGCUGAGACGCGAAAGCGUGGGGAGCGAACAGG
This 253-nucleotide ribosomal RNA is filed under the name uncultured bacterium. RNAcentral's name for it is "partial 16S ribosomal RNA". It matches the Rfam family "Bacterial small subunit ribosomal RNA", at positions 524 to 776 of the family's 1533-position model. The record is from RNAcentral.